Molecule: long non-coding RNA, 559 nt
Filed under: Astyanax mexicanus (Mexican tetra)
Lineage: Eukaryota; Metazoa; Chordata; Actinopteri; Characiformes; Acestrorhamphidae
Description: lncRNA (ENSAMXG00005022431.1)
Source: RNAcentral
ACAAUGUUUUAAUAUUAUUUAUGACAAUUGUGAUAAUUGUAAAUUAUACAUUUAACUCACCUCUUACCUCAAAUGUAGCAGUUCUUUAGUGACUUCUUCCGUGAUUUCCAAUUUAGCCUAUAAUUAUAGAGCAGAGACAUUUAGUUGCUUGUUAGCUGGUUUAAGGUGUCUCUCUGCUGGCUGUUACAGAAUGUAAACUUUAAAUAUGAAGCCUUUAUAAGAUGUUAAGACUGUUUUAUAUUUAGUGUUUUUGUUUAGGGUAGGGAACAAGCAUGUAAAUGAUGUUUUAUUAGUGUUUGUUAUUUUCUCUUAGUAGAGUCAACAGUCAAUAGGCUUUCAUGUGAAGAUGAAAGCACACGUGCAGUCUCUGAAGAUGACUGCUGGAGAAGAUGCAGAACAAGAAGAACCAAACAAUCAUGGAUCAUGUAAUUCAACAGCAGGAGGACUGCAUUGAGAGAUUGCAGCACAACCUGGAGAUAUUGAGGAAGUUGUAUGAUUCAAGCAGGAUUGGUUUCUGAAUAAGGUACAGUAAAUAAAUAAAUGAAUUAACCAUGUUUCA